AAAUUAUCUUCUUGUUCUUGAUAGUUUGGCUUGUACAACGUUGCAGGAUGACAAAUUCAACCUUUUCUGUGCAUUAUUACUUUCAUAACAUGAUAAUAACUCAAAUGCAUCAAGAAAGAGAAGGUAAAUGGGGACAAUUCGUGAAAAGGACUAGGAGAACAUAUUUAGAAGUAAUGGUCUGACAAAUAUGCAUACUGAAUAAUAUAAAUGAACUGAACAAGUUUCCUCCCCACCAACUGGAUAAUACAGUGUGAAGGAAAGUGGAAGAAAUGCAAAAUGCCAAGUUAGGCAUGUGAGGACUGACCAAAAAUGAGUCACACUCCCACGCUUUUGGCUCACAAUUCGAAAUAUUUGUUUUUAGUUGAUUGGGUAGCCACUAAAAGUAUAUGGUGAGCUUUGUUUGAAUUUGAUCUGUCACUUUUUUUUUGAUGGGUGACAAUGAUUUUAUGACAUAUGUCACAUUGUGUCACAUCACUCACAACACAUCAAGUCACACUCUAUCCCAUCAUUUCUGAAGGCAAUAAUGCCACUCAACACGACGUGACGUGACGAGAUGUAACGCAACUCAGAGGCUGAAAAAACAACGGGAAACUUUGGUGGGUGUGACAUGGGUCCCUGAAAUUACCUUGGAAUGAGCCUUGGGAAGAUCCCAGGAGUUAAGUUUGCAAAGUGGGGCAGCUGGGUGACUUCUGCCUUCGUGAAGGUGGGCUCUGAGUUACUCGGUGUAGAGAGGCAGUGAGUAGUUACUCUGUUCAUGGUGGGAGUCUGUUGCUGGGCUUGGUGAUAAAAGUGAGUUCUUCAAGGGAAAAAACUUGCUGGAAAGAUGAGCCUUAUGCCUGAAAUGUGACAAGACUGGAACUGUCUCUGACCUGAAAGCCUGCAUGUCUUUAAGUGUUUUAGAGCUUUUAAAAUAUCUGAAACCUCAGGGGAUGUCCUAAGCAUAAACAUUACUUUAAGCCAGGAUUUAGCUGGAUGUGGUCUUCUAACAUAUUUCAAACAAAGAUGGCUGCAAUCUUUAUGAGUUCUGCCCUGUUUUUCCAACAAUUAUCUCCUUUCCCGUGUUAUCUCCUUUCCAGUGUUUGUGUUGUAUAUGGUGUCUUAUCUGUUCUUAUUGGCUUCAGCAAACUAUAUCCAUGUGCACACAAAAAGGACCUUCAUCUACAUCAACAGCAGGAUAUUUCCAUUUAAACACACCACUUAAGCACAAAUUGUGAAAUUCCCUCAAUUUUUGAACACUUCACUGGAAGAGCCUGAAUUCCUUAGCUGACAGGAUUGCACCAGAGAGGUUUUUCAGUGAUGUUCAGCAAGUCAAUAGCUGGAGUGAAUAAAGGUUGGAAAGGUCUCUGUGGUUCAUCCAGCCCUGUACUCCCUGCUCCAUGGAUCCAACCCUCCUGCUAAGCUAAGCUUUGUGGGAGAAAGGAAGGCAGAAUCUCAUCCCUACAGAACAGCACAACAGUUUCCAGGCUGAACUCUCUAACAUACACAAUCUCCUCUGUGCUUCUGAACACACAGACCCACCAGCCCUGUGAGAAGAUGAGUGUGUUUACCACGUUGAAGAAAUCAGCAGUAGAUUUAGUGGAGUGCCUUUGGGCAGGUGAGAAAAAUUCUGAGAAAUCCAGUUUCCAAGCAGGAAAUUCGACGAGUGAUGCAGAGAUCGUGGCAGAAGCUGAAAACGGUGUGCAUGCAAGGACAAUGCCUCAGCAUCACACUUAACACAAGAAAACGGGAACAAUACAUAUUUUUAAGAGAUGCUUUAUAUAUUUGACCUCGUUUUGGUGGUUGUUUGGUUUUUUUCCCUGUAGAGGAAAAAUGAAUCAAUCUGUUCACCACCCUGAGAGUGAGCACUGACUCCCACUCCUUGCCUGGUGCACAGCCCUCAGGUCAGUGUGUGGGUGAGGGAGGUGAGCCCCGAGCACUCUCCAUGCUGGGCAGAAUGAUGAGAGGUUUCUUCUCCUCUCCUGUUCACCUCUGUCAUCCUUGUUCUCACUUUGGGAUCACCUCCUCAAAAUUUGUUUGAAAGUCCUUCACCACAGUGCUCCAGGUGGUCAGCAACUCCAAAUCCCUUUACAGACCCUGCAGCUCUGUCUGUCCUUACAUCUCGUGUGAAACAUGCAGCCAGAAGUCCCCACCCUGCACCACCUGAAGCCCCAAAGGAAUUGUUUUCUUCUUUAAGCAGUUCUCUAGACUGAAAGGCGAGGGCUCACUGUGAAAAUAGGUAUGAUUUUAAACAGCCUUUCACAUUUCACACGUGUGGUGAGGAUGGCUUACCAGCCUCACCAGGCUACCUUGCAGCUUCUCUUUUAUGGUCUGAAGCUGGAGGUGCUGAUGCAUCCUCAGAAAGCCACAGGCAGAAACCUCACAAAGAGAUUAAAGAUGUGACAGGGAGAGGCAGGAGGAAAUGCUCCUGCUCGUUUUCUUGUGUGUGUUCUUCUGAAGGUAAAGCCAGCAGGAACUCCAGCACAGGUCCAUGAGUUUCCAGAACAACCUUUGGAAGUUUCUGUCUGUUUUCCAAAGGAAAAAAGCACCAGCAGACCCAAAGCAUGGAAAAAUACUCAGCAGAAUCAAGCAUGACAGGAAAACUUCACAAAGACAUUGCUGUUGCUUUACUCAACCAUUUUCUCCUCCUCUCCAUCUACAAGGGAGAGGUACAAGAGACCCAACACCUCUGUGCACAUUGGUGGAAGGCUGUAAUAUUUUUCUCAAUUAAAAUCCCUGGAAAAUGUGGUAACAUUUAACUCCACAUGUUAAAGAAGGUUCUUUCUAGUUCAGUUCGCACUGGCUCCGUCUGCUUCCGUGCUGUGCAGCUCCUUGUGACUUUUUUCCAAGUUCAGCCAUUUAGAACAUUUAGAUAUUUCAGAGACAUUUAAAACACUGGGAUAUUUUAGAAGUCACAGUGAUUUCUGAGACAUCUUGGACCAUAGAUGGCAUUUGUUAGUUUGAGGGGAACUAUUUAUUUUAAUUUGCAAAGAAAUGUAGGACCAGUGAUCAAAAGUGAUCCAAAUCCAUUCGUGAUGUGACAAGUGGCAAACGAUUUUUGCUUUUGUAGCAUCUUUAAUGCAAAUGAGUGUAAAGUUCCUGAAUAUUUGACAUGAGGAUGUAUUUAUUAAAGUGUUAAUAGCACAAAAGAGCAUUGUUAUAUCAGGGAGACACAUUAUUAAAAAGUUUAUAGCAAACAAACAA
Molecule: long non-coding RNA, 3180 nt
Organism: Cyanistes caeruleus (blue tit)
Lineage: Eukaryota; Metazoa; Chordata; Aves; Passeriformes; Paridae
Source: RefSeq, a predicted model, not a curated record